AAUCUUCCGCAAUGGACGAGAGUCUGACGGAGCAAUGCCGCGUGAGUGAUGAAGGCCUUCGGGUCGUAAUACUCUGUUUUUAGGGAAGAAUAGGUAUCGGAGUAAUAUGCCGGUACUUUGUCGGUACCUUACCAGAAAGCCCCGGCUACCUACUUGCCACCAGCCGCGGUCAUACGUAGGGGGCGAGCGUUGUCCGGAAUUAUUUGGCGUAAAGGGGGCGCAGGCGGUUUCUUAAGUCUGAUGUGAAAUAUCGUGGCUGAACCACGAGCGAUCGUUGGAAACUGGGAAACUUGAGUACAGAAGAGGAGAGUGGAAUUCCACGUGUAGCGGUGAAAUGCGUAGAGAUGUGGAGGAACACCAGUGGCGAAGGCGGCUCUCUGAUCUGUAACUGACGCUGAGGUGCGAAAGCGUGGGGAGCAAACA
Molecule: ribosomal RNA, 423 nt
Filed under: uncultured bacterium
Lineage: Bacteria
Description: partial 16S ribosomal RNA
Rfam family: Bacterial small subunit ribosomal RNA
Source: RNAcentral